This 102-nucleotide transfer RNA is filed under the name Hypoxylon rubiginosum. RNAcentral describes it as "tRNA-Sec". It matches the Rfam family "tRNA". From Rfam's summary of the family: Transfer RNA (tRNA) molecules are approximately 80 nucleotides in length. Their secondary structure includes four short double-helical elements and three loops (D, anti-codon, and T loops). Further hydrogen bonds mediate the characteristic L-shaped molecular structure. tRNAs have two regions of fundamental functional importance: the anti-codon, which is responsible for specific mRNA codon recognition, and the 3' end, to which the tRNAs corresponding amino acid is attached (by aminoacyl-tRNA synthetases). tRNAs cope with the degeneracy of the genetic code in two manners: having more than one tRNA (with a specific anti-codon) for a particular amino acid; and 'wobble' base-pairing, i.e. permitting non-standard base-pairing at the 3rd anti-codon position. The record is from RNAcentral. Lineage: Eukaryota; Fungi; Ascomycota; Sordariomycetes; Xylariales; Hypoxylaceae.
GGUGCCGUAGUAUAGUGGUCUAUACACAAGAUUUCAAUCUGAUCUAUUGCAGAUAUUCGUCUUGUCCCUCCGGGGGCGUCCGUUCGAAUCGGACCGGCACCG